RNAcentral lists this ribosomal RNA (478 nucleotides) under uncultured Planctomycetales bacterium. RNAcentral describes it as "bacterial SSU rRNA". It matches the Rfam family "Bacterial small subunit ribosomal RNA", at positions 364 to 832 of the family's 1533-position model. Lineage: Bacteria; Pseudomonadati; Planctomycetota; Planctomycetia; Planctomycetales. The record is from RNAcentral.
UUUCGCAAUGCCCGAAAGGGUGACGAAGCGACGCCGCGUGUGGGAAGAAGGCCUUCGGGUUGUAAACCACUGUCGGGAGUUAAGAAAUACAAGGAUAUUAAUAGUGUCUUUGUUUGACUAAGGCUCCGGAGGAAGCCACGGCUAACUCUGUGCCAGCAGCCGCGGUAAUACAGAGGCGGCAAGCGUUGUUCGGAGUUAUUGGGCGUAAAGAGCACGUAGGCGGCUAUGUAAGUCGGUUGUGAAAGCCUUCCGCUCAACGGAAGAACAGCAUCCGAUACUACAUGGCUUGAGUGCGGGAGGGGAGAGUGGGACUUCUGGUGGAGCGGUGAAAUGCGUAGAUAUCAGAAGGAACGCCGGCGGCGAAAGCGGCUCUCUGGCCCAUAACUGACGCUGAGUGUGCGAAAGCUAGGGGAGCAAACGGGAUUAGAUACCCCGGUAGUCCUAGCCGUAAACGAUGGGCACUAAGUAGAGGGGUUUU